UGGGGAAUAUUCCACAAUGGGGGAAACCCUGAUGCAGCGACGCCGCGUGAGCGAUGAAGGCUUUCGAGUCGUAAAGCUCUGUCCUAUGGGAAGAUAAUGACGGUACCAUAGAAGAAAGCCCCGGCUAAUUACGUGCCAGCAGCCGCGGUAAUACGUAAGGGGCGAGCGUUGUCCGGAAUUAUUGGGCGUAAAGAGUGCGUAGGCGGCAAAUUAAGUCAGAUGUGAAAACUAAGGGCUCAACCCAUAGAUUGCAUCUGAAACUGAUAUGCUUGGGUCAAGGAGAGGAAAGGGGAAUUCCUAGUGGUGCAGUGGAAUGCGUAGAUAUUAGGAGGAAUACCGGUGGCGAAGGCGACUUUCUGGACUUGAACUGACGCUGAGGCACGAAAGCGUGGGGAGCAAACAAG
Molecule: ribosomal RNA, 404 nt
Filed under: Verrucomicrobiota bacterium
Lineage: Bacteria; Pseudomonadati; Verrucomicrobiota
Description: Verrucomicrobia bacterium partial 16S ribosomal RNA
Rfam family: Bacterial small subunit ribosomal RNA
Source: RNAcentral